GUGAGAGGUGGCGAUGGUGGCAAAGCGGACAAGAGGCAAUCGGCGAUGGCAUGAUGCGCUAUCAACGAAUGUGAACUGGUGCAUCUGUAGCCUAGAACUGCUAGGUUUGUUAUGAGACGGAGUAAAGGUAAAGAUAUGGGAGGGAGUGGACAUUGUUGCACAAAAUCUCUGUGAAAAUGCAGACAUGAAAGCAGAUUUGCCCGAACAUACUCGCCG
Molecule: unclassified non-coding RNA, 216 nt
Filed under: Hevea brasiliensis (rubber tree)
Lineage: Eukaryota; Viridiplantae; Streptophyta; Magnoliopsida; Malpighiales; Euphorbiaceae
Source: RNAcentral